UACAGAGGUCCCAAGCGUUGUUCGGAUUCACUGGGCGUAAAGGGUGCGCAGGUGGGUUGGCAAGUUCGAUGUGAAAGCCCCGGGCUUAACCCGGGAAUGGCAUUGGAUACUGUUGAUCUGGAGGGUCGGAGGGGGGACUGGAAUUCUUGGUGUAGCAGUGAAAUGCGCAGAUAUCAGGAGGAACACCAACGGCGAAGGCAGCUCUCUGGGACGUUACUGACGCUGAGACGCGAAAGCGUGGGGAGCAAACAGG
RNAcentral lists this ribosomal RNA (253 nucleotides) under uncultured bacterium. RNAcentral describes it as "partial 16S ribosomal RNA". It matches the Rfam family "Bacterial small subunit ribosomal RNA", at positions 524 to 776 of the family's 1533-position model. The record is from RNAcentral.